This 919-nucleotide long non-coding RNA is filed under the name Canis lupus familiaris (dog). RNAcentral describes it as "lncRNA (ENSCAFG00845024551.1)". The record is from RNAcentral. Lineage: Eukaryota; Metazoa; Chordata; Mammalia; Carnivora; Canidae.
ACGUUUCUCUCUCAGGACAUGGGGAAGUACUAGGCAGUCCAUGCUUCUUUCAGCAGCUGCCUGAAACCACAGGUGGCUCCACCCAGUGCUUCACUGAAUGGAGGUCUGCUGCCUCCAGAAGCCCCAUUCAGGCUAUCCCCCCAACAAAUCUGGCAGCUACCAACCUUCACAGGUACAUCCUGGCCAGUCCAGCACACAGAGAAGCUGUGAUGGAAGUUUGUGCAACUCUGUUUCCAGGAACACUCUUGCAACUCUGAAGGCUUGUCUGUUUGGACUUCAAAGAAGAACAAGGUUCACUUAUGCCCAAUGGAAAAGAUCAUCUACCUCAUAUCCAGAAGACUGCAAAAUACCAUUGUGCCUCAUUGUCUCUGACUAGGUUAUGUGCCUACUCCUAAAACAAUCACUCUAAUGGUAUUUCAGUGCUCUGGAAGUUUACACUUAAGUUGUUCCAAAGAGGAAAAUGAAGGCACUAUUACCAGAAGAACUGUGAUUGGAUGCUAGGCUGCAAUUCCAAAUGAUAUUGCAAUUCAACACAUUUUGCUGCUCAGAAUUUAUACGAACCCUUCUUGUCAUAUAUACUCAUUCAAAAAAUGUCUCCACAAAAGUGUUCUUUCAUCAAUUACUGAUGGAAUGGGAAUUGUUAUCAGGUUUGGAAAAUACCUUUGCAAGAGUAACUGCUAUUUUACUUCUAAGGCAAUAGAUUAGUUUGACUGUUUUUGAAGUUUAAAUAAAUUGUAAAGAAAACUGUGUGCCCUUUUGUUGUCUUCAUUUCAACAUACUUGUAAGAUUUAUUCAUGUUGUUAAAUGUGGUUGUAGUCUCAUUGUAUGAAUAUACCAAAAACAUAUACAGUCUACUGCUGAUGGACAUUUGGGUGAUUUCCAGCUUAGAGCUAUUAUACAUGGUUGAACACAUCUAUUU